GACGAACGCUGGCGGCGUGCUUAACACAUGCAAGUCGAACGGAAAGGCCUGCUUUCCCUUGUGGAUUGCGGGUACUCGAGUGGCGAACGGGUGAGUAACACGUGAGUGAUCUGCCCCCAACUUGGGUAUAAGCCUGGGAAACUGGGUCUAAUUCCCGAUAGGACUGCAGGGUGGUGCCUGUGGUGGAAAACGAUUUUCUAGUGGUUGGGGAUGAGCUCGCGGCCUAUCAGCUUGUUGGUGGGGUAAUGGCCUACCAAGGCGGCGACGGGUAGCCGGCCUGGGGGGGUGGGCGGCCGCAGUGGGACUGAGAUACGGCCCAGACUCCUCCGGGAGGCAGCAGUGGGGAAGAUUGCACGAGGGGCGGAGGCCUGAGGCAGCGACGCCGCGUGGGGGAUGACGGGCUUCGGGUUGUAAACUCCUUUCGACCGCGAGGAAGCCACCUGGUUGGAAGGGUGGUGACGGUAGUGGUAGAAGAAGCACCGGCUAACUACGUG
Molecule: ribosomal RNA, 494 nt
Filed under: uncultured bacterium
Lineage: Bacteria
Description: partial 16S ribosomal RNA
Rfam family: Bacterial small subunit ribosomal RNA
Source: RNAcentral